Molecule: ribosomal RNA, 253 nt
Filed under: uncultured bacterium
Lineage: Bacteria
Description: partial 16S ribosomal RNA
Rfam family: Bacterial small subunit ribosomal RNA
Source: RNAcentral
UACAGAGGGUGCAAGCGUUGUUCGGAAUUAUUGGGCGUAAAGGGCGCGUAGGCGGUGCGGUAAGUCUGCGGUGAAAUCUCCCGGCUCAACUGGGAGGCUGCCGUGGAAACUGCCGUGCUUGAGUGUGGGAGAGGUGAGUGGAAUUCCCGGUGUAGCGGUGAAAUGCGUAGGUAUCGGGAGGAACACCUGUGGCGAAAGCGGCGCACUGGACCAUAACUGACGCUGAGGCGCGAAAGCUAGGGGAGCAAACAGG